CACGUAGGUGGCAAGCGUUGUCCGGAAUUAUUGGGCGUAAAGCGCGCGCAGGCGGUUUCUUAAGUCUGAUGUGAAAGCCCCCGGCUCAACCGGGGAGGGUCAUUGGAAACUGGGAAACUUGAGUGCAGAAGAGGAAAGUGGAAUUCCAAGUGUAGCGGUGAAAUGCGUAGAGAUUUGGAGGAACACCAGUGGCGAAGGCGACUUUCUGGUCUGUAACUGACGCUGAGGCGCGAAAGCGUGGGGAGCAAACAGG
This 253-nucleotide ribosomal RNA is filed under the name uncultured bacterium. RNAcentral describes it as "partial 16S ribosomal RNA". It matches the Rfam family "Bacterial small subunit ribosomal RNA", at positions 524 to 776 of the family's 1533-position model. The record is from RNAcentral.